AAGCGAUUUAUUUGUGUAGCUCAUUAUACAUGCAGAUUCCGAUGUUUACGUCAUUGUACUUUCAUAUAGGAUAAUAUACAAUGACGUAAACAUCGGAAUCUGCAUGUAUAAUGAGCUACACAAAUCAAUCGCUU
RNAcentral lists this microRNA precursor (134 nucleotides) under Paramuricea clavata. The record is from RNAcentral. Lineage: Eukaryota; Metazoa; Cnidaria; Anthozoa; Malacalcyonacea; Plexauridae.